This 489-nucleotide ribosomal RNA is filed under the name uncultured bacterium. RNAcentral describes it as "partial 16S ribosomal RNA". It matches the Rfam family "Bacterial small subunit ribosomal RNA", at positions 30 to 507 of the family's 1533-position model. The record is from RNAcentral.
AUUGAACGCUGGCGGCAGGCCUAACACAUGCAAGUCGAACGGUAACAGGAAGACGCUUGCUUCUUUGCUGACGAGUGGCGGACGGGUGAGUAAUGUCUGGGAAACUGCCUGAUGGAGGGGGAUAACUACUGGAAACGGUAGCUAAUACCGCAUAACGUCGCAAGACCAAAGAGGGGGACCUUCGGGCCUCUUGCCAUCGGAUGUGCCCAGAUGGGAUUAGCUAGUAGGUGGGUAACGGCUCACCUAGGCGACGAUCCCUAGCUGGUCUGAGAGGAUGACCAGCCACACGGGAACUGAGACACGGUCCAGACUCCUACGGGAGGCAGCAGUGGGGAAUAUUGCACGAUGGGCGCAAGCCUGAUGCAGCCAUGCCGCGUGUAUGAAGAAGGCCUUCGGGUUGUAAAGUACUUUCAGCGGGGAGGAAGGGAGUAAAGUUAAUACCUUUGCUCAUUGACGUUACCCGCAGAAGAAGCACCGGCUAACUCCGUG